UUUCCGGAUAAAUCAGAAGUUCAAUGUCUUCACAGAUGGAAAAAAGUUCUUAAUCCUGAACUUGUUAAAGGACAUUGGACAAAGGAGGAGGAUGAUAAAAUAAUUGAACUGGUGUCGAUACAUGGACCUACAAAAUGGUCUUUGAUAGCCCAAUCAUUGCCCGGUAGAAUAGGAAAACAGUGCCGAGAACGAUGGUGCAAUCAUCUUAGUCCAGACAUAAAGAAGGAUCCCUGGACUUUGGAGGAGGAAUUAGCCCUUAUGAAAGCUCAUUGUACACAUGGCAACAAAUGGGCUGAAAUAGCCAAGGUUCUAUGUGGA
RNAcentral lists this small RNA (318 nucleotides) under Vigna angularis var. angularis. RNAcentral's name for it is "Non-protein coding transcript". Lineage: Eukaryota; Viridiplantae; Streptophyta; Magnoliopsida; Fabales; Fabaceae. The record is from RNAcentral.